Molecule: ribosomal RNA, 1164 nt
Organism: Tissierella praeacuta DSM 18095
Lineage: Bacteria; Bacillati; Bacillota; Tissierellia; Tissierellales; Tissierellaceae
Rfam family: Bacterial large subunit ribosomal RNA
Source: Rfam
UUGAAAGCUUUGAUCGGCCGCAGUGAAUAGGCCCAAGCGACUGUUUACCAAAAACACAAGUCUCUGCUAAGUCGAAAGACGAAGUAUAGGGGCUGACACCUGCCCGGUGCUGGAAGGUUAAGGGGAAGGGUUAGCAUAAGCGAAGCUCUGAACUUAAGCCCCAGUAAACGGCGGCCGUAACUAUAACGGUCCUAAGGUAGCGAAAUUCCUUGUCGGGUAAGUUCCGACCCGCACGAAAGGUGUAACGAUUUGGGCACUGUCUCAACAAUGGAUCCGGUGAAAUUGUAGUACUCGUGAAGAUGCGAGUUACCCGCGACAGGACGGAAAGACCCCGUGGAGCUUUACUGCAGGCUGACAUUGGAUUUUGGCAUUGCAUGUACAGGAUAGGUGGGAGACUGAGAAACCAGUGCGCCAGUAUUGGUGGAGUCGCCCUUGGGAUACCACUCUUGUAAUGCUGAAAUUCUAACCUGGUACCAUGAAACUGGUAUGGGGACACUGUCAGUUGGGCAGUUUGACUGGGGCGGUCGCCUCCUAAAAAGUAACGGAGGCGCUCAAAGGUUCCCUCAGCACGGUCGGAAAUCGUGCGAAGAGUGUAAAGGCAAAAGGGAGCUUAACUGCGACACCAACAAGUGGAGCAGAAACGAAAGUUGGACUUAGUGAUCCGGUGGUUCCGAGUGGAAGGGCCAUCGCUCAACGGAUAAAAGCUACCCCGGGGAUAACAGGCUUAUCUCCCCCAAGAGUCCACAUCGACGGGGAGGUUUGGCACCUCGAUGUCGGCUCGUCUCAUCCUGGGGCUGGAGUAGGUCCCAAGGGUUGGGCUGUUCGCCCAUUAAAGAGGCACGCGAGCUGGGUUCAGAACGUCGUGAGACAGUUCGGUCCCUAUCCGUCGUGGGCGUAGGAAAUUUGAGAGGAGCUGUCCUUAGUACGAGAGGACCGGGAUGGACAGACCGCUGGUGUAUCAGUUGUCAUGCCAAUGGCACGGCUGAGUAGCUAAGUCUGGAAGGGAUAAGUGCUGAAGGCAUCUAAGCACGAAGCCCCCCUCAAGAUGAGAUUUCCCACUUUUAAAGGUAAGACUCCAAGAAGACCACUUGGUAGAUAGGUCUCAGGUGUAAGAGUAGCAAUACUUUAAGCUAAGAGAUACUAAUAAGUCGAGGACUUGACCUA